RNAcentral lists this ribosomal RNA (752 nucleotides) under Bacillus sp. (in: firmicutes). RNAcentral's name for it is "bacterial SSU rRNA". It matches the Rfam family "Bacterial small subunit ribosomal RNA", at positions 383 to 1090 of the family's 1533-position model. Lineage: Bacteria; Bacillati; Bacillota; Bacilli; Caryophanales; Bacillaceae. The record is from RNAcentral.
CUGACGGAGCAACGCCGCGUGAACGAAGAAGGCCUUCGGGAUUCGUUAAACGGUCCCGUAGCUAGGAACGAUCAAGGUAGCAGAGUAACUGCUGGUACCUGGACGUUAACUAACCAGAAAAGCCACGGCUAGCUAACGUGCCAGCAGCCGCGGGUAAUACGUAGGUGGCAAGCGUUGUCCCGGAAAUUAUUGGGCGUAAAGCGCGCGCAGGUGGUUCCUUUAAGUCUGAUGUGAAAGCCCACGGCUCAACCGUGGAGGGUCAUUGGAAACUGGGGAACUUGAGUGCAGAAGAGGAAAGUGGAAUUCCAAGUGUAGCGGUGAAAUGCGUAGAGAUUUGGAGGAACACCAGUGGCGAAGGCGACUUUCUGGUCUGUAACUGACACUGAGGCGCGAAAGCGUGGGGAGCAAACAGGAUUAGAUACCCUGGUAGUCCACGCCGUAAACGAUGAGUGCUAAGUGUUAGAGGGUUUCCGCCCUUUAGUGCUGCAGCUAACGCAUUAAGCACUCCGCCUGGGGAGUACGGCCGCAAGGCUGAAACUCAAAGGAAUUGACGGGGGCCCGCACAAGCGGUGGGAGCAUGUGGGUUUAAUUCGAAGCAACGCCGAAGAACCUUUACCAGGUCUUUGACAUCCCUCUGACAACCCUAGAGAUAGGGCUUUCCCCUUCGGGGGACAAGAAGUGACCAGGUUGGCUGGCAUGGUUGUCCGUUCAGCUUCGUGUCGUGAGAAUGUUUGGGGUUAAAGAUUCCCGGC